ACUCUAUCUUGCAACUCCCACCUUCCUAGAAGAUGUUACACAGCCAUGCUUUAGUGAGCUAUCAAUUAAGGGAAUAUAGCUACCCUAAGGAAGGUUCUACACCCACCCCACUUCCUUAGUGAUACACUACACCCUUCUAUGAAGCUUGCAACUGGAAUGUUUCUUGAGUUGCAGGGCUGGGUCCUCUGUGUGCAUGAAUUGUGAAGUGUGCCUGCAGUCCAGCCACGUCCUGAGCCCCCACACCAAGUGCAGAUGGAUUGGUUCUUUGGCCAUUACCUCCAAGAAAUUUACAACCUAAAGGAAACCAGUUGCAGCUUUGAGAGUGUCCUUCAAGUUAUACUUCGCACCCACCCAGAACACAGAGAUAACAGUGUUUACUAUCACUUUGUAAGUAUAACUUUCUGGAUGACUAAAGGGAAAAAACAUCGUGUAGAGCAACACUGCCAGGAAAUGGGAGCCCUCGCAUUCGAAGCCUGUGUUUGUUGCAAAUAUCCUGACUGACGUCUUUUGUGUGGCAGCUUGAGAAGAAGCUUGUUUUGUCACCCUUUUCAACUGCACUAUUGUCCAAGUCUGGAAAGAAACCGGGAUCUCAUCUGUGAAGAAAAAAAAGAUCCAUCUUAUAAGAAGAGAUGAAAUACAGUGAGGGCAAAAGCAGACUGGAAAUGAGUUUGCAGUGAGAAAGUACGUUUCCUGGAGGUCUUGUCAAAAUAAUCUUUAUCAACAAAGGACUAUUAAGUGCUAUGAGAUUUGAGCUUUUCAUCACUGUUAUUGUAGGUUCAGUGAGUCAAUAUUCAUUUCCCAAAAGUGAUGCUCUCCCUGACCUAUGGUUGCAAGGUGACCCUCUGCCCCUUGCUUCAAACAAAUUCAGCAGCUUUGCAGCACUCUGGAAGCAGCCAGCUCCUAACUCUGAGGCAUUUACCAGAAGCAGCAAAAUUCAAGGGGAGUUUUGCAACUCACCUGAGUGUUUGUGCUGGGUACUCUACCACAGCCACAGCACAGACUAGAGAGGCCUUCUGGAAUCAACAAGCCCCUUGUCUCUGUAAGUACUGCAGAUGUGCAAAGCCCCUCUAUGAAUUAAGAAACAAAGAUACAUUAAAAAAGAGAGAGAGAAGGAGAGGAAGAGAGAAAGAAAGAAACCAGUUUGUUGGCAUGUUAAUAGUAUUAAAUGUCAUUACAUUGUUGAACAUCACAGCUACUGAACUUGGACCGGAGCUCUCACCAGCUGAAACCAGUUAGUGACUGCAGGCUAAGGCAUCUGGGCAGGCCAGCACCAACUGGAAGUGCACUUAAAAUCCUUUGCCACCUUUUUAAUUUCCUAUCUGAGGGUUACAUCUAUGUUUCAGAUGACAAGGAAUGAGAAACCUACCUUCUGCAGCCUGCUGGCAGCAUAAAUGCACCUUUGCUGCCUCGAGAGACAAAAGUGAUGGGGACGUGGAACAUCUGCAGUCUGGAUGGAGGACUCUUCUCCCUGGAUUCCCUCCGUGGUGUUUUAUAGACUCUGCCAUGCCCAUGGAUGGUGGGUCAUGGUGUGUCAGAGAACGAUGCUGUCACACAGCUGGGUGAAGCAAAGGGGCUGCCCCUUUGUGUGUUAAUGUGAAAAAGCCCUUUUGCAGGAAGACAGAAAUGAGGAGGGACUGUGAAGCCAAUGAAAAAUAUUGUUUUUCUGUGGGUUUGUGUUGUUUUUGUAUUCUCCCAGGUGUCUCAUUAAAAAUGCAUUAAAAUGAGACAAUUAGCUGCUACAGAGAAUUUACUAUGCUGCUGCAUCAAAGUACUUUGGAGUACUUCAUAAAUACUGAGCUGAGUAAUUGUACCUAUCUCUACUGUCUGCCACAAAGGCAAUGGACAGAGGUGAGGGUCCUGGGAAGAUAUAGUCUUUAAUGAGGUAAGAAAAUGAAUGUCUAAGUAGAUUAAUUAUAAACAGCAUAUAUAAACUAAUGUAAUUAGCAGUGGCUUGACAGGCUUUUUUAUUAUUAUUUGCCACUUGCUUCCAUUCAGUUUUCUUCUGGUUGGUUGCAGCAUAGAUACCCUGAUGAUCAAAUAAGAAAAAGCAGAGGCAAUACCCACUCUAAAAAAACAUGUUCAAAAGCCCUUGUGCUUCUCAAACAUGGGAAAUGUGGACAUGUCAGCCAGAAACCACCACCUGACAGCUGCAGCUUCUUCCAUAGGUCUCCUCUGGCCUUGUUUCUUCUCCUAAUUCUGGAGCAGAAUUCAGGUCUCAGCUGCUCUCAGAACCAGAAGUAUCAAGACCAGCAUUUCCAUGUCAAACCUCCCAUGUACACACACAGCCAAUCCCAAUGUGUGUCACACUCACAUCAUGGAUGAUGUCCUCCCUGGGCACACGUGUGCUUGAUCCAUGCAGGCAGAGCCACCAAUGUGGAGUGCAGGACCUUUGCCUCUCCCUGCUCUAAGCAGUGUUUUAGCGCUUUUGCACAUCUGCAGCAUAUGCUGCUGCUUUUGCCUCUGCAGCUCUCUACUUCUGGGUGUGGAAAGGGGAGAAAGAAAUAGGAAAAGCAUUGUGGCGGAGUGGCAGGAGUGGAUUUCUGAUUAACUUUUUCACAGACUACAGUCUGAUUUGAGAACAUACCGGUUCCAGUUUUCAUAACAAUGCAUUUUCCCUUGACAAGUGCUGGUUUCAUUUUAUAUAGUUGUCUAAAUAGUUAUCACAUCUCUAGUGCUGCUAGCCAGAAACGACUCCCCGGUGUGCCAGAUCCAGACCUUCCAGUAAUUUGUGUAUGUAAAUCCAGAUUAUUAUCAGGUUCACACGUAACAAAAUGAAAGAGCAGAUACAAAUGAUCUGCAUAGAAAUCUCCAUGAGAUAUUCACAUGUGGAAAAUUAAUGUUUCUCGUUUGUAUAAAUGUCUGAACAUGUAAGAUCUAUCAAUCAAUCUCUCUCGUACCCGUACAGCUCAGAAGCAUGUGGCAGUGAGUCCUAACGUCGUCUUCCAUGAUUACCACGUGAUUGCUGACAGAAGCUGAUCAGAACUGAGAACUGCUAUGAUCAGUUUUUUGCCACUGUGAGUCUAAAAUGUCCUUUUUUCCCCUCUUUUCCUGCUACGAAUUUUACUUGUGUAACAGUCAACUUAACUACAGUGAUCUGGGAAUUAACAGCCAAGGACUAUUCAGUGCUGCAUGUUGCUUAAUGCAAUUAGCAAAAUUAAUAAAAUGUUGGACAGGUGCCUCAUACCAGGGGAAAAAAGGCAUUGUUCUCACUUGCUUAGGAUCAAACAGUGACAUUACCUUAUUUCCUUCAAGAAAGAAAGAAUUAAAAUGUAAUGAAUUCCAGUUACCCUGGAAUAUGUGAGGAACAAGUUGAAGUCAGCUCUGACUGUAACAGAAGCUAAAACAGAAUUCACUGUUCCUCCUCCCUUUGACAAAGCUCAUCUUUGGAAGUCAUACACUCAACAGUUUAACAUCUGGAAAGAUGUUAGCAAAUGAGUCGGUGAGAGGCAGGUGAAAAAUACUGAUGUGUAGAACUGUGGGGAGAAGGUCUUCAUACUCCUGCUGGAAGGUCCAUGAAGCGUAAGAAAAGCAAGGAUGUUGUCAGUAAGGUAAGCAUGCUAAUCUUCUUGUGUCAUUCUGAGACAGUCAUUUUCAGUCCACAGUGGUCCUGUUGGUGCUGCUGCUGAAUAUAACGUGGGUGACUUAUUGAGGGCCUGGGCUGGGAAGCUGGCCUUUGCUCACAGGACUGUAGCCACCCUGGGCUAGGAAAGUUCCCUAAUCCUGCUUAUCUGGAGUAUUUACACUCCUCAUAGCACCCAAGUGUCAGCAGGUACGGGGCAGCCACGUUUCAACUCUGAUUCAGCCAGGGAAAGCAGUCAGGUCCAGGGCCUGUAGUGACUGGAAAUCAUAACCUGGGGUUGGCUGCGUGUGCUCUGCAAGAUGAUUUGGUGGGCCUGAUCCAUUUUCCCCACAUACACACAUCAAACACCCACACAUCUGGCUUGUAUUAGCGUGCCCUCGUUGGCAAUUGCUCUAAUGACAAACUCAUCUGGGAAGAACUGGAGCGUCUGAACCAGCUGCAGCUUAUCCAGCCUAUGGAGAGCGCAGGUAGAGUGAGGGAGCAGCAGAGGACCUGGGCUGUUCUGCUCAGCCAGCUCUGGGCAUCCUACGGGCCAACCUGACAAGGUGCUGUGCUUCCAGAGGAUAGCACUUCUUAAGCAUUUGCAGUAACCUUUUGCUUGUAAAUCUGAGAUGCUGUGCCCUCUUUUUCUACACCUUGCCCAUUUAUUUUGCUUUUUCAAGGACGUAUGGUUA
This is a non-coding RNA of Coturnix japonica (Japanese quail), 4254 nucleotides long. The record is from RefSeq and is a predicted model, not a curated record. Lineage: Eukaryota; Metazoa; Chordata; Aves; Galliformes; Phasianidae.